RNAcentral lists this ribosomal RNA (253 nucleotides) under uncultured bacterium. Its description in RNAcentral is "partial 16S ribosomal RNA". It matches the Rfam family "Bacterial small subunit ribosomal RNA", at positions 524 to 776 of the family's 1533-position model. The record is from RNAcentral.
UACGAAGGGGGCUAGCGUUGUUCGGAAUUACUGGGCGUAAAGCGCACGUAGGCGGGUCGUUAAGUCAGGGGUGAAAUCCCGGAGCUCAACUCCGGAACUGCCUUUGAUACUGGCGAUCUAGAGAUCGAGAGAGGUGAGUGGAAUUCCGAGUGUAGAGGUGAAAUUCGUAGAUAUUCGCAAGAACACCAGUGGCGAAGGCGGCUCACUGGCCCGAUACUGACGCUGAGGCACGAAAGCGUGGGGAGCAAAACGG